UCAAAUAUGCCAUUGAACUAUUAGAAAUGGCUCAUUAAUUCCAUUCGUUAAAAGUUUGGCUCGUUUAUGCCAUCAUCAUUACAAAACAGGUUCAUUUAUGUCAUUACUUGUUAACGGUGGUUUUUCAAAAUUAGCUUUGCCAUGUGUCGUCUUACUAGAGAUCCACAUCAUUAACUAAAAUAAUGGAAAAAAGCUCAAAUAUGUCAUUGAACUAUCAGAAAUGACUCAUUUAUGUCAUCCAUUAAAAGUUUAUCUUGUUUAUGCCAUUGUCAUUAAAAAACAAGUUCAUCCAUUCUAUUACUUGUUAACGGUGGUUUUUCAAAAACAGCUUUGCCACGCGUCGUCUUACUAGAGGUCCAUGUCACUAAUUAAAAUUAUGUGAUUAUCCCAAUUAAGUUAACUAAACAACUGAAUAUAUUUCGAGAUAUUCUUAGACCAAGCUCCAAUAACUUUAAACACAAGUGAGGCCUAAAAUAUUCUCUUGCCAAGCCUUAUGAACCUCAAAAUGACUAGUUAAUCAUUUUCAGUUGCAUACAUUUUGGUCGAUUAAUAUUCGUUCUUCAGGGAGUUUUCAUUCAAUGCUAUGAUGGAUGAUCUUCCUCAAAGAUUCAAGGCACUGACUAUUAUGAACAAAUUGUAAGAGAAAAUAAAUCAAUUCUCAUUGAUUUAUUUCAAUUAAUGACGUGGACCUCUUGUAAGAUGACACAUGGCAAAGAUAUUUUUGAAAAA
RNAcentral lists this long non-coding RNA (729 nucleotides) under Capsicum annuum. Its description in RNAcentral is "long non-coding RNA (CANN_LNC002204)". The record is from RNAcentral. Lineage: Eukaryota; Viridiplantae; Streptophyta; Magnoliopsida; Solanales; Solanaceae.